RNAcentral lists this long non-coding RNA (334 nucleotides) under Brachypodium distachyon (stiff brome). RNAcentral describes it as "long non-coding RNA (BDIS_LNC004286)". Lineage: Eukaryota; Viridiplantae; Streptophyta; Magnoliopsida; Poales; Poaceae. The record is from RNAcentral.
GUGUCCUUAGUUAGCAAGUUGAUAUUGGGUUUUGUCAUUCCCUGCCGUACUAGCUAAUUAACUAAUUACUAGUUUACAACCAACUUGAAUCAAUCGCUGUUCUCUUGUCCAACUGCCAUAUCGUAUUCUAAACCAACCAGCAAAAACUAUAGAUAUUAGUACAUUUCAACUUGAAACCUUCUCUUUUCUCGAAGAUGUGAUCACAAGUUGGUGGCACUAGCUUUUUUUUCUUUUUUUGAUAAAAGGCCUUUUGGGUCCAGUUUUAUUAGAAAAGAGAAAGCCAAAGUAGUCUGUGGGAUACCAGCGUUACAGGCAAACAUAUCCACCCAAACCA